UACGAAGGGGGCUAGCGUUGUUCGGAAUUACUGGGCGUAAAGCGCACGUAGGCGGAUACUUAAGUCAGGGGUGAAAUCCCGGGGCUCAACCCCGGAACUGCCUUUGAUACUGGGUAUCUCGAGUCCGGAAGAGGUGAGUGGAAUUCCGAGUGUAGAGGUGAAAUUCGUAGAUACUCGGAGGAACACCAGUGGCGAAGGCGGCUCACUGGUCCGGUACUGACGCUGAGGUGCGAAAGCGUGGGGAGCAAACAGG
RNAcentral lists this ribosomal RNA (253 nucleotides) under uncultured bacterium. RNAcentral describes it as "partial 16S ribosomal RNA". It matches the Rfam family "Bacterial small subunit ribosomal RNA", at positions 524 to 776 of the family's 1533-position model. The record is from RNAcentral.